This 373-nucleotide ribosomal RNA is filed under the name uncultured bacterium. RNAcentral describes it as "bacterial SSU rRNA". It matches the Rfam family "Bacterial small subunit ribosomal RNA", at positions 525 to 896 of the family's 1533-position model. The record is from RNAcentral.
ACAGAGGUCCCAAGCGUUGUUCGGAUUUACUGGGCGUAAAGGGUGCGUAGGUGGUCGGAAAAGUCUGAUGUGAAAUCUUCGAGCUUAACUCGGAAAUGGCAUUGGAUACUAUUCGGCUAGAGGGUUGGAGGGGAGACUGGAAUUCUCGGUGUAGCAGUGAAAUGCGUAGAUAUCGAGAGGAACACCAGUGGCGAAGGCGAGUCUCUGGACAACUCCUGACACUGAGGCACGAAAGCUAGGGGAGCAAACAGGAUUAGAUACCCUGGUAGUCCUAGCUGUAAACGGUGCACAUUUGCCGUGAGAGGAAUCGACCCCUUUCGUGGCGAAGCUAACGCGUUAAAUGUGCCGCCUGGGAAGUACGGUCGCAAGAUUA